GACGAACGCUGGCGGCGUGCUUAACACAUGCAAGUCGAACGGCAAGGCCCUGCUUUUGUGGGGUGCUCGAGUGGCGAACGGGUGAGUAACACGUGAGUAACCUGCCCUUGACUUUGGGAUAACUUCAGGAAACUGGGGCUAAUACCGGAUAGGAGCUCCUGCUGCAUGGUGGGGGUUGGAAAGUUUCGGCGGUUGGGGAUGGACGCGCGGCUUAUCAGCUUGUUGGUGGGGUAGUGGCUUACCAAGGCAUUGACGGGUAGCCGGCCUGAGAGGGUGACCGGCCACAUUGGGACUGAGAGACGGACCAGAGUCCUACGGGAGACAGCAGUGGGGAAUAUUGCACAAUGGGCGGAAGCCUGAUGCAGCGACGCCGCGGGCGGGAUGACGGCCUUCGGGUUGUAAACCGCUUUCGCCUGUGACGAAGCGUGAGUGACGGUAAUGGGUAAAGAAGCACCGGCUAACUACGUG
This 468-nucleotide ribosomal RNA is filed under the name uncultured bacterium. RNAcentral's name for it is "partial 16S ribosomal RNA". It matches the Rfam family "Bacterial small subunit ribosomal RNA", at positions 28 to 507 of the family's 1533-position model. The record is from RNAcentral.